This is a long non-coding RNA of Esox lucius (northern pike), 1567 nucleotides long. The record is from Ensembl. Lineage: Eukaryota; Metazoa; Chordata; Actinopteri; Esociformes; Esocidae.
AUCAUGCAGUGAUGUUGGUGUUCCAUUACAAAACACAAUUCCCUUUCUAUCUUUCUAUUGGCCCAACGAUAAUCAAAUCGUAGUCCCUUCUUUUAUUUAAUGGGUAAAACUACCAUAUAUUGCCCAUAUUGGUCAGUUUGGUUGACUUCAUUACAUUUUAGAGCCUUUGCAAAAGCUUUUGUGAACACCUUAACUCACUUUCUCCAACGAUCAACAGAUGUAUGCUAAUUACAGAAAUGUUGCAGCAAAAUCGAUUGCACUUCCGUAUAGACUCAUCUAGCAGACAUAUCGGUUAGUUAUGCUCCUCGGGAUUUCGUACCAGUUAAGAUUUUUUUUUUUACAUCUGAAUAGAAAGACAUUCCACGUGUUGACAAGCAUGGAAGUAUGGACUUGGGAGAUAAACAUCAUGUGACUGCUGCCAUGGAAGUCCAGCAAAGAAGGACCACAGACAGAAUCAGAAACCUGAUAGAUGGAAAUAUAUUCAAAUCAGCAAUACAUCUAAAGUGACUAUAAUAAACAAUUGUUUAUUGUUAUAAAUCAUUUACAUUUGUGGACGUUUUGUAAAAUUCAAAAGUUGGAUCUAAUUAAGAUUGCAGAACCAGCACUGAUCUCACCAUGUAAAGUAUUAGGCAAACCAGUAUUUUUAUAAGACCUAUUCAGCAUUUAAAUUAAUGGUAGUAUGUUGCCUACCAUGCAGACCACCAAGUUCUUGUUUGUCAUAAAUCUGAAUGGUGAACUCACUGUCACUACAACUUCUCUACAAUGUCACACCUGUCCACUAGAUGUCAGUAGUUUCAAAUGGAAACACUAAAUACAGGCAAAGAUCCUGAAAGGUUCCCCACGUAACGACCAACAGGCCGGCCUGCAGUACCAGACGGCACACUGGGGAACACAGAUUCUUAGUUCAGGUAUAAUGGGCCAAAACUGUUUAUAAAUGCCCUUAUUACAUCAGCCACUCUGCUUGACACAGAUACCCAGCCUUAAAUAAACCUAGUGAUAAAGCAGGAACCUAGCUGUGCUGGCUAAAUCUGUCAUCACCUGAACACCCUCUAAAAUCUCAGUUUGUUACAUGCUUAGCGUUAUUACAUAGGUUGUCAAUAGCAGAUAUUACAUUUCAUUAGGUUAAUGAAUGACACUGUAAUAACACUGUAGAGAAAGUUGUUUUCACUCAGCGUCUUUAGCUUGCACUCUGUUACUGUCCUUUUUGAGUUUGUUCUCUGACAUAUUUCAGUGUUGUUUGAACACCGAUUCCGAUGAAUGCUCUAAUCUGGGAAAUAGUAAAAAUGAAGUCUUAUUGGCAUCGACGGUUGGACCUGUAAUAACUGACUUAUUGCCUAGUGAUGUCACCAGACAAGCGACAUUUUGGUGUAAAAGAAAAUGUAUUUGAUUUGAUAGGUUGGAUUAAAUUCAACUUUAUUGUUAUAAAGUAUUUGCAAGUAUUAAGUGUAAUGUAUGUUACAAGUGGGAUGUAUACAGUAGAUGCACAUUGAAGGCAAAUGCAAUUACAAAUGGCAAUUCUAAAUGUGCAUUUAAGGCAAAUUGAAGGCGCCAGGAGACGAAACAUCCC